UACGUAGGGAGCAAGCGUUGUCCGGAAUUACUGGGCGUAAAGGGCGCGUAGGUGGGUGCUUAAGUCAGGUGUGAAAACUCUGGGCUCAACCUGGAGACUGCACUUGAAACUGGGUAUCUUGAGGGCAGGAGAGGAAAGUGGAAUUCCUAGUGUAGCGGUGAAAUGCGUAGAUAUUAGGAGGAACACCAGUGGCGAAGGCGACUUUCUGGACUGUACCUGACGCUGAGGCGCGAAAGCGUGGGUAGCGAACGGG
Molecule: ribosomal RNA, 253 nt
Filed under: uncultured bacterium
Lineage: Bacteria
Description: partial 16S ribosomal RNA
Rfam family: Bacterial small subunit ribosomal RNA
Source: RNAcentral